Molecule: transfer RNA, 88 nt
Filed under: Candidatus Psyllophila symbiotica
Lineage: Bacteria; Pseudomonadati; Pseudomonadota; Gammaproteobacteria; Enterobacterales; Enterobacteriaceae
Description: Enterobacteriaceae bacterium Cmel17 tRNA-Ser
Rfam family: tRNA
About the family: Transfer RNA (tRNA) molecules are approximately 80 nucleotides in length. Their secondary structure includes four short double-helical elements and three loops (D, anti-codon, and T loops). Further hydrogen bonds mediate the characteristic L-shaped molecular structure. tRNAs have two regions of fundamental functional importance: the anti-codon, which is responsible for specific mRNA codon recognition, and the 3' end, to which the tRNAs corresponding amino acid is attached (by aminoacyl-tRNA synthetases). tRNAs cope with the degeneracy of the genetic code in two manners: having more than one tRNA (with a specific anti-codon) for a particular amino acid; and 'wobble' base-pairing, i.e. permitting non-standard base-pairing at the 3rd anti-codon position.
Source: RNAcentral
GGAGGAGUGGUUGAGUGGUUUAAAGCAGCGGUCUUGAAAACCGUCAAAGGUUAAUAUCCUUUCGUGGGUUCGAAUCCCACCUCCUCUU